AUACUUACCUGGCAGGGGAGAUACCAUGAUCACGAAGGUGGUUUUCCCAGGGCGAGGCUUAUCCAUUGCACUCCGGAUGUGCUGACCCCUGCAAUUUCCCCAAAUGUGGGAAACUCGACUGCAUAAUUUGUGGUAGUGGGGGACUGCGUUCACGCUUAA
Molecule: small nuclear RNA, 159 nt
Filed under: Cervus hanglu yarkandensis (Yarkand deer)
Lineage: Eukaryota; Metazoa; Chordata; Mammalia; Artiodactyla; Cervidae
Description: U1 spliceosomal RNA (ENSCHYG00000000713.1)
Rfam family: U1 spliceosomal RNA
About the family: U1 is a small nuclear RNA (snRNA) component of the spliceosome (involved in pre-mRNA splicing).
Source: Rfam by way of RNAcentral